UGCGUAAUGGCGUGGCUGGCCUGACGAC
This 28-nucleotide small RNA is filed under the name Bombyx mori (domestic silkworm). Its description in RNAcentral is "ovarian small RNA-33999". Lineage: Eukaryota; Metazoa; Arthropoda; Insecta; Lepidoptera; Bombycidae. The record is from RNAcentral.